RNAcentral lists this ribosomal RNA (560 nucleotides) under Serratia sp. (in: enterobacteria). RNAcentral's name for it is "bacterial SSU rRNA". It matches the Rfam family "Bacterial small subunit ribosomal RNA", at positions 137 to 692 of the family's 1533-position model. Lineage: Bacteria; Pseudomonadati; Pseudomonadota; Gammaproteobacteria; Enterobacterales; Yersiniaceae. The record is from RNAcentral.
AGGGGGAUAACUACUGGAAACGGUAGCUAAUACCGCAUAACGUCUUCGGACCAAAGUGGGGGACCUUCGGGCCUCACACCAUCGGAUGUGCCCAGAUGGGAUUAGCUAGUAGGUGAGGUAAUGGCUCACCUAGGCGACGAUCCCUAGCUGGUCUGAGAGGAUGACCAGCCACACUGGAACUGAGACACGGUCCAGACUCCUACGGGAGGCAGCAGUGGGGAAUAUUGCACAAUGGGCGCAAGCCUGAUGCAGCCAUGCCGCGUGUGUGAAGAAGGCCUUCGGGUUGUAAAGCACUUUCAGCGAGGAGGAAGGGUUCGGUGUUAAUAGCACUGUUCAUUGACGUUACUCGCAGAAGAAGCACCGGCUAACUCCGUGCCAGCAGCCGCGGUAAUACGGAGGGUGCAAGCGUUAAUCGGAAUUACUGGGCGUAAAGCGCACGCAGGCGGUUUGUUAAGUCAGAUGUGAAAUCCCCGAGCUUAACUUGGGAACUGCAUUUGAAACUGGCAAGCUAGAGUCUUGUAGAGGGGGGUAGAAUUCCAGGUGUAGCGGUGAAAUGCGUA